GUGGGGAAUAUUGGACAAUGGGCGAAAGCCUGAUCCAGCCAUGCCGCGUGUGUGAAGAAGGUCUUCGGAUUGUAAAGCACUUUAAGUUGGGAGGAAGGGCAGUAAGUUAAUACCUUGCUGUUUUGACGUUACCGACAGAAUAAGCACCGGCUAACUUCGUGCCAGCAGCCGCGGUAAUACGAAGGGUGCAAGCGUUAAUCGGAAUUACUGGGCGUAAAGCGCGCGUAGGUGGUUUUGUAAGUUGGAGGUGAAAUCCCCGGGCUCAACCUGGGAACUGCCUCCAAACUGCAUGACUAGAGUACGGUAGAGGGUAGUGGAAUCUCCUGUGUAGCGGUGAAAUGCGUAGAUAUAGGAAGGAACACCAGUGGCGAAGGCGACUACCUGGACUGAUACUGACACUGAGGUGCGAAAGCGUGGGGAGCAAACAGGAUUAGAUACCCGGGUAGUCC
Molecule: ribosomal RNA, 449 nt
Filed under: uncultured bacterium
Lineage: Bacteria
Description: partial 16S ribosomal RNA
Rfam family: Bacterial small subunit ribosomal RNA
Source: RNAcentral